This 6689-nucleotide long non-coding RNA is filed under the name Theobroma cacao (cacao). RNAcentral describes it as "long non-coding RNA (TCAC_LNC003694)". The record is from RNAcentral. Lineage: Eukaryota; Viridiplantae; Streptophyta; Magnoliopsida; Malvales; Malvaceae.
AUAAAUCAGAAGGUAAAAUUAGCAUUCUAAGAAAGUAGGACAUCAAAAGGGAAGCAUUUAUUGUUCCAUUAUGUCUGGAAGAAUUUGAGAAUCCUCAAAAUAUUUGUUCACAAUCUAGGAGAAAAAAACUUACCAGCUUCCAUAGCAUUCCUUGCUGCAGUUCUGAAAUCAUUGACAAUUUGAGGGAUUUCAUCUGUCCUUAAUCGCCUAGGAGGUGAGAACUGAGCAACAUCCACUCCAUUGGCUCGAAUUUGUGGUGUCAAUGACUUGUCUGUAGAAGAGAUUGGAGCUUGUCCAUUUGGCUGAAAACCUGUACGUAUAUAGACAUUGACAAGGGAUAAGAAAUUAGUUGGGCCAAUGUCAUCACAUGAAUAUGGGAAUAAAUAUUAAGCAUAUAAUUCCAUCAUAGAAUCAGAAGAGAAGACAUAAUGGAUGUCUAAGGCAAGAACUGACCGUAGUUUGAAACCCUUCCAACAUGCCAAAUCUGACAAAAGAUAAUUCCACCUUUGGCAUGAACAGCAUCAACAAUGGGUUUCCAGGCCUCAACUUGCUCUUUUGUCCAUAUACCAGGUGUAUGGGCGUACCUUCAUAAAUUAGAAAGAAACAAUUAAAGAAAGUCUCAUUAAAUUAGUUUUUGAGGUAUAAAAAAAUGUAAAAUUUUAACUGUUUAAGUAGUUGCGGUACAUAUGUUAUCUUUUUUAUUUAAAAAAGAAACAGGUUUAAAAAUUACCCUUGAGCCGUGUCAGAAACUCCAGUAGCUUCAGAGAUCAUAAAACCUCCUCUGGAAGUUCUCUGGGAGUAGUAUAGAAUGGCAUGUGGUUGAGGAACAUUAUUGUAAGAUCUUUGUCUUGUCAAAGGUGCCAAUACAACUCUGAGAAAAAAGGAAGAAAAAGAAAGAGGUAAAUGAUAGAGUAAGUUAUUUAUGCAUCAAAAUUUCCCAGGCGAAGAACAAAGUGAUGCACAUAGUCAGCCAAUUACCAUUGGUUUUCCUAAUGAACAACAUUCAAGUUAUGCAAACUUGGAUUUUUCAACUAAUCAACUAGCUAUGGCUUGACAAAGAAAAACAAUAUGCUGACGGGGAUUAUCCAAAAGUUAUACAAAUAUCUACUUGGACGAAAGUAAAAGUUGUGCUAUGAAAAAUGCAGGAAAAUUUAUGCCUUUAUUACCUAUGAGAAAGAUUGAAUUUGCCAAAUUUGUAGGGAGUGAGAAGAGGUUGAGUGGUGAUAUUUUCUUGCUGUUGUUGUUGGGUUUGCUUUUUGCCUUCCAUAUCUGAAACUAACUGAUUUGCUUGCCUUUGGCUUUGGAUAUGUAGUUGAGCAGCAGUGCAGUGCAAAUGGGUAGAAGUUGUUUCUGCUACCAGAAGAAAAGAACUUUGCUUCGCUUUGGUUUUGGUUUGGGAUAUUUGCUGAGUUGAGUUGUGUAGCGAGAAUGGAGUAUAUAUAGCCUUAGGAUGGGCAUCUGAUGACGUGCGAGUGUACGUGAUGAGAAGUGUCAUGUCAUGGUUAUGGCACACCCCUCUUGACCAAAGAAACAGACGCACAGUUUCUUUCCAUGUGCUAAUUCCUGCCCCUUUCUUUUUCUUUGGUAAAUCAUAACAAUUAUUUUGUAAUUUAUAAAAAUUAUAAAAGUUAAAUUCCAACGAAAUAAAUGCUAUAACUUAUAAAAGGGUAUUGGAUGAUUGUAAAAAAUAGAAACUUAAAAAGCAAGAGUAAAAAAAGUUAUGUAUAGAAAAAAUUUAAAUAUGAAGAAAAUUACACAUUUUAUGCAGAGAAAAUCUUUUAUAAUUUCAAAAAUUAAUAAUGGAUAUACCUAGUGCCUAGUCUAGUCUAGAUGAUUAAUUUAGCUACUCGAUGAAUUACAAAAUUAUUUUUUUAUAAUUACAAAAGUUUUUCUGUAAGUGCCAAAGUGAUUCCAAACAUCGUCGUGCAUGAGACAUCAUAUAUUCCUCACUGGAUGGCCGCCGCAGGGCUCCACAAGCCGUCAGCAGCCAAAGAAUGACCCUUGAAUUUAUGCACACUCAGUAACAUAAAAAAGUCAAUUUAUCCCAUAAUUAAUUUGGUCAUCUCAAUAUAUAUAAUAUAAUAUAAUAUAUAUAUAUAUGUAUAUAUAAAGGUUCAAUUUAAUGCAUUCCGACCAUAAAGCGUACUAGAAAAUCUUGGGCCCAUUUUAUCUGCUUUUGAACUUUUGUGUGUGUUUUUUUUAAUUAAUAAAAACGAAAAUGUUUAUAUAUUUCUUUAGUAAAUCUAACAAAAGUGCAAAUAAGAUGAUGGGGACAUAAUCUUCUGGAAAAUGAGUAAAAAAUAAGACUGUUUGUGCAUCCAUUAUUUAUUUAAUUAAAUAAUAAAUAGAUAAAAGUCAUGUUUAGUUUGUUCUAGGGUUCUAUAACUUAUACUUUACUUUUGGAUUCUAAAGUAUUAAUUUCUUGUUUUUUUUUAUUUGUAGAAAAUCAAAAUUUUAUUUUUUUUGUUGGCAUUAAUUAAUAGAAAUUAUUGCAAUAGUAAGCGUGGAUAACCAACUGAAACUCCUGCUAGACCCACCCAGAUCCAAACCAUAUAGAAGCUAAUGCCACAACCAAAGCCCUCAAACCGACCACGCCCCCAGGCAAAACUACCGGCGCAGCGGCAGAGCUGUUCGAUGUAUGGUUGGCAACGGGUGAGGCAGCUGGUGAAGGCAGUGGAUGGACAAGGACAGAAACCUUCAUGCCAUUGAAGCACUGGCCAUUCCCACAAAUGAAGCGGUACCUCUUGGACUCAUUGAGAGGUAUAAAAUCCUUGCCACUGCUCCAGUUUCCUAGUGCUCCUUCUGUUGUGCAGUUGUCAUACCCAGUUUGGUUCACUUCAAACACGUUGUAUUGGUUCUUUUGGUACCUAAAGGCUGGAAGGAAAGACAGAGUUGAUGAUGGUAUUAGACCAAGGACCCUCUGCUUAUGUCAGCCUCAAAAUACAAAGACUAGAUGCAAUAUAAACAUUCACAAAUAAAGGCAGUCAAAUCAGAAAGCAGAUUCAGGACAGAUGGGUACUUUCGUAUUACCCCGAAAUCAAUGUUUUGCACUUCAUACUACCCAUAAUCAUUUAGUAGUGUUUAACUUAGAAAACCCACCGUUUCCUUCAUUUCUCUGAAAGACAAGAAAAUGAAAUGGUACAAAACUACAAAUACAAACGCAGAUGGUUAGAGAGAGAGAGAGAGAGUACAGAUGAGGUCUCCAACAUAGAAGGUGUGGUUGUUGGCCCAAAGGGUGUAGUUGAUGCCAGGGUUCCAGCCUUUGUUAGCACCGACAAUGUGGUCAGUGGCGGUGACAGUGCCAAAGAUUAGAACGAAGCACAACAAGAUAAGCUGAUUUGAGGUCGAAUUCAACAUUCUUUGGCUCACUUGUUGGUGUUUAGCAGUUAGCAGUUUGGUUUGGUUACCCUCUUUUGCUUCGCUCUUCUUUCUGAUUUCUGUUUUUUGGGGGGGGAGAACGAACAAUUAUUGUGAGGGACUCAAAGAUAAUUUUGAGUAAUGUGGGUGAACCGUGGGUCCCCUUCUUACCCGUUGGGUUUGAAUCCAAAUGUGACCAACUUCAUUUUCUCCAAUUUUUUAAUCCCGGAAAAUCAUUUCCAUCACAACAUGGAAUCUUUGCUCCAUUAUUUCAAUCCAAGGUGGAACCCAAAGCUGAAGCACACUUUUAAUUGCCGGUGCCAGGUGGUCCCUCCCAUUCUGGACCUUCAUUCGUGGGCUUCCCUUUUAGGGCCAUUAAGCCCAUCUCCCUCUGAAAGGUAGGCAUUUGACUAUCCAAUCUUCAUAAUGGGUCUCAUGUGAGCGCAAGACUUGUUGUAGGGCCGUAGCCUUUACCCCAAUAUGGAUUUGGUUGGUUUCAAUGUGUAGAGCCUUAUUCUCUAAUUUUUUUAAUUGUUUUUUAUCUCUCUCCAAUUCUUUUUUUUUUUUUUCAUUUAGAUUAGAUUGGACAAAAUUAUGCAAUUUCAAGAACAAUGGUAAUUAAAAGUUUCUACUUUCACUCUAAAUUUUCUUCCAUGAGUUCUUCACCUUUGUAAAUAUGUAUAAAAAUUGUUUAUCUUAUUUUAAUAUGCAACGAGAAAUAUUUUUAUUUCGUAUCAUAACUUUCACUUGUUCACUUAUAAUUUAAAUUUGAGAAUUUUAAAAUAAAAUCUUAAGUUUUACAGUUGAAUGUGUUUUUCCUUGUUAACUUAACUUAAUUGGAAUCAAUUUUCACUGUUUUAGCACGAGGGCGACAAGGUUUUGUCAAGUUUUUUAAAUGGCUUAAACCCUACUACUUAUAAAUAGCAAAGGAGAAGAAAAAGAAAAGGAAAAAGCAAAGAGCAAAGGAAUAAGUGACGGGCAUUGCCAAAUGCCUUUUUUAUUUGACAAAUGAGGUACAAAGCUCAUAAAAGAUGAACGAGUUUGGAUUAAAAUCCAGAAGACUUCAUGAAUCACUUAAAGAAACCCAUAGCCUCUACUAAUUACUUGAUAAUUGGCACUGGGAUUUUACUAGUAAUACCGCAUGUAUUGUGAUACACAUGAUUUUAUCACUAAGAAAAAUGAAAAACAAAAAGAAACAUACAUUCCUGGAAUUCAACUGGACUAAUGAUUGUUAUCUCCUGCUGUGAACUUAAGCAUCGCCAUUGGCUUCAAGAAACGGGUAAUCAGUGUAACCAAUGACUGGAUCUGAGGUGUAGAAAGUUUUUCUGUCAUACUAAUUAAGAGGGGCAUUAAGCUCAAAUAACCUUGGCAAAUCAGGAUUUGCCAAAAACAAUCGACCAUAAGCAACCAGAUCCGCACGGUUUUCGGCUACAGCUUUGUUUCCGUCUUCUUUGGUGUAGCCCCCGGCAGCAAUGAAAGUGCCAUUGAAAGCUUUUCUCAUAGGCAGAAGAGUAUGAGGACAUUCACUUACAUCUCCCAUCAUUUUUAACCUUGGCUCGAUCAUAUGGCAGUAGAGAAUUCCAUAUUUGUUCAAGGCCUCAACCAUGUAGAGAGCUAAUGCUUUUGGAUCAGAGUCUACUGCUUCAAUAAAGUCUGUAAAGGGAGAUAACCUUAUUCCAACUCUAUCUGCACCUAUUUCAUUGGCAACAGCUUCAACUAUCUCUAAGGCAAAUCUGCAACGGUUCUCUAGUGAUCCACCGUAUUCAUCUGUUCGAUCAUUCACUUGAUCAUUCAAAAACUGGUCUAUAAGGUACCCAUUAAAUCCAUGAAUCUCAACCCCAUCAAAACCUAUAUAUUAAUCAGCAAGCAAAAUUAGCAUUCUAAGAAACUAGGACAUCAAAAAGGGAAGCAUUUAUUGUUCCAUUAUGUCUGGAACAAUAUAAGAAUCCUCAAAUAUUUGUCCACAAUCUAGGAGAAAAAAACUUACCAGCUUCCAUAGCAUUCCUUGCUGCAAUUCUGAAAUCAUUGACAAUUUGAGGGAUUUCAUCUGUCCUUAAUCGCCUAGGAGGUGAGAACUGAGCAACAUCCACUCCAUUAGCUCGAAUUUGUGGUGUCAAUGACUUGUCAGUAGAAGAGAUUGGAGCUUGUCCAUUUGGCUGAAAACCUGUACGUAUAUAGACAUUGACAAGGGAUAAGAAAUUAGUUGGGCCAAUGUCAUCACAUGAAUAUGGAAAUAAAUAUUAAGCAUAUAAUUCCAUCAUAGAAUCAGAAGAGAAGACAUAAUGGAUGUCUAAGGCAAGAACUGACCGUAGUUUGAAACCCUUCCAACAUGCCAAAUCUGACAAAAGAUAAUUCCACCUUUGGCAUGAACAGCAUCAACAAUGGGUUUCCAGGCCUCAACUUGCUCUUUUGUCCAUAUACCAGGUGUAUGCGCGUACCUUCAUAAAUUAGGAAGAAAUAAUAAAAGAAAGUCUCAUUAAAUUAGUUUUUGAGGUAUAAAAAAAUGUAAAAUUUCAACUGUUUAAGAAGUUGCGGUACAUAUGUUAUCUUUUUUAUUUAAAAAAGAAACAGGUUUAAAAAUUACCCUUGAGCCGUGUCAGAAACUCCAGUAGCUUCAGAGAUCAUAAAACCUCCUCUGGAAGUUCUCUGGGAGUAGUAUAGAAUGGCAUCUGGUUGAGGAACAUUAUUGUAAGAUCUUUGUCUUGUCAAUGGUGCCAAUACAACUCUGGGAAUAAAAGAAGAAGAAAAAGAAAAGAGGUAAAUGAUUGAGUAAAUUAUUUAUGCAUCAAAAUUUCCCAGGCGAAGAACAAAGUGAUGCACAUAGUCNGCUUCCAUAGCAUUCCUUGCUGCAGUUCUGAAAUCAUUGACAAUUUGAGGGAUUUCAUCUGUCCUUAAUCGCCUAGGAGGUGAGAACUGAGCAACAUCCACUCCAUUAGCUCGAAUUUGUGGUGUCAAUGACUUGUCAGUAGAAGAGAUUGGAGCUUGUCCAUUUGGCUGAAAACCUGUACGUAUAUAGACAUUGACAAGGGAUAAGAAAUUAGUUGGGGCCAAUGUCAUCACAUGAAUAUGGAAAUAAAUAUUAAGCAUAUAAUUCCAUCAUAGAAUCAGAAGAGAAGACAUAAUGGAUGUCUAAGGCAAGAACUGACCGUAGUUUGAAACCCUUCCAACAUGCCAAAUCUGACAAAAGAUAAUUCCACCUUUGGCAUGAACAGCAUCAACAAUGGGUUUCCAGGCCUCAACUUGCUCUUUUGUCCAUAUACCAGGUGUAUGCGCGUACCUUCAUAAAUUAGGAAGAAAUAAUAAAAGAAAGUCUCAUUAAAUUAGUUUUUGAG